This is a transfer RNA of Allomyces macrogynus ATCC 38327, 72 nucleotides long. It matches the Rfam family "tRNA". Rfam says of the family: Transfer RNA (tRNA) molecules are approximately 80 nucleotides in length. Lineage: Eukaryota; Fungi; Blastocladiomycota; Blastocladiomycetes; Blastocladiales; Blastocladiaceae. The record is from Rfam.
GGUCCCAUAGUGUAGUGGUUAGCACUCUGGACUUUGAAUCCAGCAACCUGAGUUCGAAUCUCAGUGGGACCG